UGUUUUCUUCUGCAUCUGGCAACCCUGUGCAAAUCGUGAUGAAGUCGAGCUGCUCCACUUUUGCGCAACGCAGUGGAGGGAACAGGAGAAGGGACGGGGCCAGUGACGUCUCUGCACUUCACUAGGUUGCACGCCAGGGGCGAGCACGUGACUGCAGCAAGUUCGUGUCACGAGGACGGAGUACUAUUUUACACACACACACACACACACAGACACGCAACCCAGGCGGUUUUACCCGGUAACCCAGCGCGAGCGUAACACAAUCGCUUUCUUUUCAAAUAUUAAUUAUUGCUUCAUUUAUUUAUAUAUCUAUCCAUGCAUCAGGGCAUUUCUUUCCCCAUGCCUUUUUAAUAUGCGGUUCUGUAUGUUCGAGAAGAAAAAAAAUCCAAUAUAUUGUGUCUAUGCUCAAUUUUAAAUCGCAUGAAAAUGUAAAAAAAAUAAAUAAAAUAAAUCUCCAUGCGCAUCAUUGCUGUAGAUUUUCACGAACCGAGUCACACACACCUUCAGCAAUAUCUAGUUGGUAUUCGAGUCGACUCGCAUUUUUCGACUGCACUUCCUUGCGAUUUCAUCACGCACCGGCGUGGCGGAUUUCUCUCUCCAGCGCGUGAACUUUUCUUCACUUACGCAAUGAUGCGCAAUUUAGACGCACCUAUAGAUUUCACUUUCCCGUAAGGUAGCCUAUGGAUUAUAUAUAAAGCAAAGCUUAAGGUGACUCAUUCAAAAAACACCCAAGCACAGGUCCAGGAGGUUCAGCUUGUUAAGCCUGAGGAGAUAGUUAGCAGGGAUGAGCUGGAAGUAUGAAUGGGAGAGUGCGUUAUAAAAGGCGCGAGCGCAGACGUCAGCGGGCACCCGAGACGCCGGCGGCGCGCGAGACACAGACGCUCUUACAGCAUCGCUCGGGAUCUCGAGCCGCAGCCGCUGUGCAAAAAAAUGCAACCAAAAAUAAAGAAAACACUGAG
Silurus meridionalis is the source of this 959-nucleotide long non-coding RNA. RefSeq lists it as uncharacterized. The transcript is spliced from 2 exons. The record is from RefSeq and is a predicted model, not a curated record. NCBI's taxonomy places the organism in Eukaryota, Metazoa, Chordata, Actinopteri, Siluriformes, Siluridae.